RNAcentral lists this transfer RNA (59 nucleotides) under Cyrtodactylus malayanus. RNAcentral's name for it is "partial tRNA-Cys". The record is from RNAcentral. Lineage: Eukaryota; Metazoa; Chordata; Lepidosauria; Squamata; Gekkonidae.
GUGGUAGAGUACACCNAAGUGCAAAUUUGGAGACGCACCCUAAUAGGUGCCGGGGCUUC